RNAcentral lists this ribosomal RNA (117 nucleotides) under Acidobacteriota bacterium. The record is from RNAcentral. Lineage: Bacteria; Pseudomonadati; Acidobacteriota.
UCCGGUGGCGAAAGCGAUGGGGCCCCACCCGUUCCCAUUCCGAACACGGAAGUGAAACCUGUCAGCGCCGAUGGUACUUGGGGAGUAGUCCCCUGGGAGAGUAGGUCACUGCCGGGC